GGCAGCAUACUUUAAGAGUAAAAGGUUUGAUUUGCAUUCAGAGAAUGGAGCCCAGAGCUUCUGAUGCCA
This 69-nucleotide transfer RNA is filed under the name Titiscania limacina. RNAcentral's name for it is "tRNA-Ala". Lineage: Eukaryota; Metazoa; Mollusca; Gastropoda; Cycloneritida; Neritopsidae. The record is from RNAcentral.